GCCUAACCUAACAUGCAAUUAAAACACCAAUUGUUCGCCAAAUAACUACGAGUGAAAACUUAAAAUUUAAAAGACUUGACGGUACUUCACACCACCCUAGAGGAGCCUGUCUAAUAACCGAUAUUCCACGAUUAACCCAACCCACCCUAGCCAAUCAGUCUAUAUACCGCCAUCGCCAGCUCACCUUGUAAAAGAAACAUAGCGAGCCUAAAAGCACCACCACUAACACGAUAGGUCGAGGUGUAACUAAUGGGGGGGAAUCAGGUGGGCUACAUUUUCUAGUACAGAAAACACGAAUAGACUAUGAAAAUAGAAACCGAAGGAGGAUUUAGUAGUAUGUUAAGGACAAAAUGCUUAACCGAAAUAAACGCAAUGAAGUGCGUACACACCGCCCGUCAUCCCUGUCAACACCCAAUUAAACCUUUAUAAACCAACACAAACUACCAAACAGGGCAAGUCGUAACAUGGUAAGCGUACUGGAAAGUGCGCUUAGAAA
RNAcentral lists this ribosomal RNA (496 nucleotides) under Rhabdophis leonardi (Leonard's keelback). RNAcentral describes it as "partial 12S ribosomal RNA". It matches the Rfam family "Bacterial small subunit ribosomal RNA", at positions 834 to 1522 of the family's 1533-position model. The record is from RNAcentral. Lineage: Eukaryota; Metazoa; Chordata; Lepidosauria; Squamata; Natricidae.